RNAcentral lists this ribosomal RNA (549 nucleotides) under Triticum aestivum (bread wheat). RNAcentral describes it as "partial small subunit ribosomal RNA". Lineage: Eukaryota; Viridiplantae; Streptophyta; Magnoliopsida; Poales; Poaceae. The record is from RNAcentral.
UUGGGGCGAACAAAUUUUAAUCCAAUUUGGCGUAAGAUCUGGAACUUAUCUUGUCCGAUGAAGGUUAAUUUUUUUUAUUUGAGGGCGUUGCAUGGCACUCUCCCAUGUCGCGUUACACUAGCCAAUAGACAUAUGAAAGUUUCGCCAAUUUGUCCUUCGUGUUCGUCUGGGCAAGAAGAUACAAAACAUUUGUUGUUUCAGUGCCAGAAAGCUAAGGAGGUGUGGAGAAGACUUGGUUUGGAUGGAGUUAUUUCUAGUGCUUGUGAAGUUGAUUAUGCUGGUGAGGCUGUCCUAGAAUUCUUAUUACAAUUGCCAAACCAAGAUUUAGCUAUUUUGGGAACCCAAAAUAUGUGUGAGAUGAUUGCCAUCACAACAUGGUAUUUAUGGUGGGAAAGACGUAAACUUGUGCAUAAGGAGAAAAUUCAAGAUGCUAAGCAGAUAUCUAUGGGGAUUCAAGCUCUUACGGCCAAUUAUGUUAUUGCUUCCUCUCCUAAUGCUUCCAUGAAGAGGGGGGGGGGGGUUGGAGUCGACCCCCCAUGGGCUUUGUGA